AAAACACCCCCAUCCGCGCGCCCCUUCUCUUUCCCCGUGACUCCUCCCUCGUGAGGAACCGUAGGCCAGGCAGCGCCGGGCGCCGCCGAACCUCUUCGCCCCGCCAGACCGCGCCGAACCUCUGUGAGAAGUCGCCCGCUGCCCUUUGUCAUCUCGUCAAAGCGACGCUCGACGGCCUUCCACCCCUCCUUCCCGCCGGAGGUCUUGUCGAGAUACCGGAGGCCGCGGAGCCCCAUCUGGGCGCUGGACUGCAUCCGCGUCAUUUGGUCCGGGCGCAUCCCCAUCUGGUUGGUUCACCGGCGCCGCGGAUGGCCAGCGUGGACGCGGCGAGGUAAGCGCACAGCCCAGCUCACCACGCCGUGUGCUGGACGCGCUCCCGCGGGGCCGCUCGAGGAGAUCUGGACGGAGGCGGACUCCGUCACCGAGGAGGCCCGCGCCAAGGCCGUCUCGAAGGUCGUCGACCGCCGCGACAUGCCACUGAUGUUGUGCUCAGACGGGCGACCAGAUGCCACCGCGACAUGCCACUGAUGCCGUCUCGGCGGGCGCAGACUGGAGCCUGCAGAACAAGCAAGGGUGGAGCGCGCUGCAGGAGGCCAUCUGCUGAAUUACAGCACCCUACAGGCAGGAAGGAUGAUGGCAAAGGGAUUCGUCGUCUCCAAGGGCCUACACGCUACACAGACUGUUAGAUUCAGAGCUUCACUCGUCGCUGCUGCUGCCACUGAUGUUCAGAGCCUCCCAGAAGUUCCUUUGCUGGAGAAAGAAUGCAAACCCAACUACGUUAGGAUAAUGCUCGGAACGAUUGUUCAAUUCAGUUCAGUGGCUUCAGGAUCACAGUCUCACCUGCAAGUUUGUGCUGGCCGUUCCAUCCUGAAACGCGUACUGCUCGGUGGUCGCCUGAGAGAAGAGAGGGGGAGAGGAGGGGAGAAAAGAGGAGAGGAUGACACGUGGGUCCAUUUACGAUGGGUAAAAUAGACUAUUCACAACAAAUCUUCAUGUUUUUGGAGCUGGAGUACUGCAAUCAGCCAAACACGUCCAUCAGCUCCAUAUUUUUUGGAGUUAGUGGAGUGGAGCUGGAAAAGUAUGGAGCUGAUGGAGUGGAGCUGGUUUUUGGGAAGUGGAGUGCUCCUAAACAGACUCUGAAUCAAUAAAGUCAGUUGUGGAGAGCGUUGAGUUGUU
Long non-coding RNA from Setaria italica (foxtail millet), 1176 nucleotides. RefSeq lists it as uncharacterized. The record is from RefSeq and is a predicted model, not a curated record. The transcript is spliced from 2 exons. NCBI's taxonomy places the organism in Eukaryota, Viridiplantae, Streptophyta, Magnoliopsida, Poales, Poaceae.